RNAcentral lists this ribosomal RNA (291 nucleotides) under uncultured Microsporidia. RNAcentral describes it as "partial small subunit ribosomal RNA". It matches the Rfam family "Microsporidia small subunit ribosomal RNA", at positions 112 to 405 of the family's 1311-position model. Lineage: Eukaryota; Fungi; Microsporidia. The record is from RNAcentral.
CACGGCGAGGGAUAACCACGGGAAACUGAGGCUAAUACAGCGUGGGUGUACGCCUGGCCUAUCAGCUAGUUGGUACUGUAAUGGCGUACCAAGGCGAUAACGGGUAACGGGGAAUCGGGGUUUGAUUCCGGAGAGGGAGCCUGAGAGAUGGCUGCCACGUCCAAGGACGGCAGCAGGCGCGAAACUUACCCACUUGGAGGACCAGAGGUAGUGACGAAGCGUGACGAUGAGUCUACGGUAAAUAAGUAGACGAAAGCGACUGGAGGGCAAGUCUGGUGCCAGCAUCCGCGG